This 1023-nucleotide long non-coding RNA is filed under the name Phasianus colchicus (ring-necked pheasant). RNAcentral's name for it is "lncRNA (ENSPCLG00000017922.1)". Lineage: Eukaryota; Metazoa; Chordata; Aves; Galliformes; Phasianidae. The record is from RNAcentral.
AUGGCCGCAGAAGAGGCAUGGACAUGCUCCAUCUGCCGCGAUGUGCGACAGGACGUCGCCUACGCCGUUCCAUGCAAUCAUAUGUUCUGCCUCGGCUGCAUCCAGCGGUGGGCGAGGCUGAAGGACAGCUGCCCGCUGUGCAGGACGGCCAUGAACACCAUCCGCGUCUCCGUGCGGGGAGACAAUGAGUACGUGGAGUGCAUCGUCUCCCCGCCCGCAGUGCCAGUGCCCGUCGGCUUUGGCACCACCACCGGCCCCAGCGGCACUGCGGCAUCUGCUCCACCGUCUGCACCACCGUCCCCUGAGCCCAUGGCCGUGGAGCAGGAGAGAGUGGGCGGCCUCCUGCCAGAGGUCUGGGCGGCACUCUUCAGGGAGAGACAAGACAUCCUCGACCCGGUGCUGCCCUGGCUGGAGCAGGAGUUACGUCACCACGGGGAGCAGCGCUGGUGGAAGAUCAACUGGCUGAAAAGCAUGAUCCUGGCAUUCCUGUGCCAGGUGGGGCCGGACAGGGACAUCCUGGUGCAGUGCACAGAGCACGCCCUGGGGCCCAUCACCGCACCGCUCAUCGACGCUCUCGUCACAAGCAUCGAGAGCCGGUGCGGCCAGCGGGCCCGGAGGUUCCUGGGCCUCGAAGACCCCAGCGCUGCCCAAGAGCAGCAGGACGGGCCCGAAGACCCCAGCGCUGCCCAGGAGCGUGAGGACGGCCCCGCGGCCCCGUCCGGUCCCGCCGCCUCCCCGCAUGGGGCCGUCACCCCCAACGCCACACCAUCCAGCUGCUCCGUGGGUCCCGACGUGGAGGAGCUCCCCAGCACAUCCAGCGGGGCCAUCAGCACAGGGCCUGCUGAGGAGCCGGCUCCCGACGCAGCCGGUCCCUCCGAGCAGCUCCGCAGCCGCGGCCCCUCUGCUCGAGGCCGCGUCAGGAAGCGCUUGGCUGGGGGACCCCGGCGCCCCACAAAGAGGAGGGCCGGCAGCACCCAGCGCGCUCCUCCGCCCUGCAAGAGGCGGCCUCCCCGGUCCCUCUAG